RNAcentral lists this ribosomal RNA (250 nucleotides) under uncultured bacterium. RNAcentral's name for it is "partial 16S ribosomal RNA". It matches the Rfam family "Bacterial small subunit ribosomal RNA", at positions 337 to 583 of the family's 1533-position model. The record is from RNAcentral.
CCCUACGGGACGCAGCAGUGAGGAAUAUUGGUCAAUGGGCGGGAGCCUGAACCAGCCAAGUCGCGUGAGGGAAGACGGUCCUAUGGAUUGUAAACCUCUUUAGGCGGGGAGCAAUGCCGGGCACGCGUGCCCGGAGGGAGAGUACCCGCAGAAUAAGCAUCGGCUAACUCCGUGCCAGCAGCCGCGGUAAUACGUAGGUGGCGAGCGUUAUCCGGAAUGAUUGGGCGGAAAGGGUGCGCAGGCGGUCCUG